UGGGCGAAAGCCUGAUCCAGCCAUGCCGCGUGUGUGAAGAAGGUCUUCGGAUUGUAAAGCACUUUAAGUUGGGAGGAAGGGCAUUAACCUAAUACGUUGGUGUUUUGACGUUACCGACAGAAUAAGCACCGGCUAACUCUGUG
This 143-nucleotide ribosomal RNA is filed under the name uncultured bacterium. RNAcentral describes it as "partial 16S ribosomal RNA". It matches the Rfam family "Bacterial small subunit ribosomal RNA", at positions 372 to 507 of the family's 1533-position model. The record is from RNAcentral.